GACAGAGGGGGCAAGCGUUGCUCGGAAUUACUGGGCGUAAAGGGCGCGUAGGCGGGAUGGCAAGUCGGUCGUGAAAUCCCUCGGCUCAACUGAGGAGCGUCGAUCGAAACUGCCGUUCUCGAGGGUUGCAGAGGAGACUGGAAUUCCCGGUGUAGCGGUGAAAUGUGUAGAGAUCGGGAGGAACACCGGUGGCGAAGGCGGGUCUCUGGGCAACUCCUGACGCUGAGGCGCGAAAGCGUGGGGAGCAAACGGG
RNAcentral lists this ribosomal RNA (253 nucleotides) under uncultured bacterium. Its description in RNAcentral is "partial 16S ribosomal RNA". It matches the Rfam family "Bacterial small subunit ribosomal RNA", at positions 524 to 776 of the family's 1533-position model. The record is from RNAcentral.